This is a long non-coding RNA of Olea europaea var. sylvestris, 414 nucleotides long. RefSeq lists it as uncharacterized. The transcript has 2 exons. NCBI's taxonomy places the organism in Eukaryota, Viridiplantae, Streptophyta, Magnoliopsida, Lamiales, Oleaceae. The record is from RefSeq and is a predicted model, not a curated record.
UACAAUGAAUGGCUACCAGGCGUGAUUGAACACCUCUCUUCUACUGCCUUGUGAAGAUGAUCUGGAGAUUGAGACUGAUCAGGGUGACAUUUUUAUCCCAAUACUGCAAAAGUUCAAGAAUGUGCCAUACUUUUAUGAGGUAUUAUCAUUUCCCAAUAAUACCUAUUUUAUUAUGCUGAUGAACUUUUUGUUCAACCAACUAUGCUUUGCGAGUCGUUCGUGAACUCAAUGUUUCUAUUUGGGGGCAGAACCCAAUUGAUGUAUGGUGUGAAACAUUUAUCAAUUAAAACUAUAAUGAUUAGACGGUAUUAUCAGAUAUCUUCAUGAUUUAUGCUGUAUAUUUAUGAAACAAACCAUCAAAAUUGUUCGAACUUCCUAAUUAUUUGAAGACUAUGCAGACAGACAUCAAAAUCA